RNAcentral lists this ribosomal RNA (254 nucleotides) under uncultured bacterium. Its description in RNAcentral is "partial 16S ribosomal RNA". It matches the Rfam family "Bacterial small subunit ribosomal RNA", at positions 524 to 776 of the family's 1533-position model. The record is from RNAcentral.
UACGUAGGGUGCAAGCGUUGUCCGGAAUUAUUGGGCGUAAAGAGCUCGUAGGCGGUUUGUCGCGUCUGCCGUGAAAGUCCGGGGCUCAACUCCGGAUCUGCGGUGGGUACGGGCAGACUAGAGUGUGGUAGGGGAGACUGGAAUUCCUGGUGUAGCGGUGAAAUGCGCAGAUAUCGGGAGGAACACCGGUGGCGAAGGCGGUUCUCUGGGCCUGUACUGACGGCUGAGGAGCGAAAGCGUGGGGAGCGAACAGG